Molecule: long non-coding RNA, 663 nt
Organism: Drosophila albomicans
Lineage: Eukaryota; Metazoa; Arthropoda; Insecta; Diptera; Drosophilidae
Exons: 4
Source: RefSeq, a predicted model, not a curated record
UUUGUCAGUCACUCUUUAACGAACAAUUUUAGCAUGAGUCAACUUAUAUGGCAGCUGAUCAUCGUCACAUUUCUAUUGUACGAAAGAAGUCUCAGCGCCCAAGAUACUUCUUCGAAACGCAUCGUAAAGGGUUUCAAUGCAGAUCCUAAACAGUUUCUAUAUCAAGUAUUUUUUAGAAGUCUGGAGGAUAACCACUCUAAAGGAACAUGUGGUGGUGUUAUAAUAUCAAAUCGAAUUGUUCUAACAGCUGCUCAUUGCAUACCUAAAAAUAUUAAUGCUGUUCAAAUUUAUUUUGGAACUGUGGACAGAUCCAAUGAAUUGGAAGUCGGGCAUCAACGAUUGAUAGUAAAAGCAGAGAAUAUUGUCGUACAUCCAGAAUAAUAUCAUUUUAUAAAUGACAUAGCUCUCAUACGACUUCCAGCCGAUCUGCUAUUUGACGAGUAUAUUCAAUCUGCCAAGUUACCCGAUGCAGACGAACUUUAUGAGAAUGAAAGUGCAGUUGUAUCUGGUUGGGGUCAAACAACUUUCAAUGGACCACAAUCAAAUCAUCUGCAGUAUUACAAUAUUUUUCCGACUUCAUUUAUCUGCUUGAAACCAAGUCAAAGUACUCCAUGUCAUGGCGACUCUGGUGGUCCAUUGGCAAUUCGGAAUGAGGAUGGUAGC